AUAUGUGCUUUGAUCAAGAAUAGUAACAUUUGAGUCAUCUAAAGAGAGCUGUUGCUAGCUGAAAAACAGUGAUGAUAAAGUGUGAACUCGCUUGUGAGCUUAUUACCCAAAUGGUAAUACGGUUAAAACCGUUAUAUUACAAAGUGAGGUCUUUUAUAAUCUUUAAAUUCUUUAAGAUUAUUUGCCUAAUUAGAGUGGUACCACGGAGUAUAUCCUUCGUCUCUUUU
Molecule: non-coding RNA, 227 nt
Filed under: Clostridium acidisoli
Lineage: Bacteria; Bacillati; Bacillota; Clostridia; Eubacteriales; Clostridiaceae
Description: T-box sequence
Rfam family: T-box leader
About the family: Uncharged tRNA acts as the effector for transcription antitermination of genes in the T-box leader family. T-boxes are found upstream of many aminoacyl-tRNA synthetase genes and some amino acid biosynthetic genes usually in Gram-positive bacteria.
Source: RNAcentral